AUCAUGGCUCAGAGUGAACGCUGGCGGCGUGCUUAACACAUGCAAGUCGAACGGUAACAGGAAGUAGCUUGCUACUUUGCUGACGAGUGGCGCACGGGUGAGUAAUAUAUAGUUAAUGUACCUCAAAGACUGGGAUAGCCACUGGAAACGGUGAUUAAUACUAGAUAUACCUUUAUAACAAAAGUUGUAAAGGGAAAUGUUUUUUCGCUUUGAGAUCAGACUAUAUCCCAUCAGUUAGUUGGUAGUGUAAGAGACUACCAAGGCAAUGACGGGUAGCGGGUUUGAGAGGAUGAUCCGCCACACUGGUACUGAGACACGGACCAGACUCCUACGGGAGGCAGCAGUGAGGAAUAUUGCACAAUGGAGGAAACUCUGAUGCAGCAACGCCGCGUGGAGGAUGACGCAUUUCGGUGUGUAAACUCCUUUUAUGAGUCAAGAAAAUGACGGUAGCUCAUGAGUAAGCACCGGCUAACUCCGUG
RNAcentral lists this ribosomal RNA (479 nucleotides) under uncultured bacterium. RNAcentral describes it as "bacterial SSU rRNA". It matches the Rfam family "Bacterial small subunit ribosomal RNA", at positions 16 to 507 of the family's 1533-position model. The record is from RNAcentral.